RNAcentral lists this long non-coding RNA (6697 nucleotides) under Marmota monax (woodchuck). The stretch from base 1578 to 1648 matches the Rfam family "tRNA". Lineage: Eukaryota; Metazoa; Chordata; Mammalia; Rodentia; Sciuridae. The record is from RNAcentral.
UUUGAGCCAAAAUAUAGAAAAGAAAAAUUUAUUGCAAAAGCUUUUUGGUGAGUGGAGGUUUCUUCAAAUUAGCUAAAACAAAAGCUCACUUUUGCAAGUGUAAUAAUACUAAGCAAGAAUAGUAAAUUAAAAUUAUAUUUGGAUACCAGGUAUAUUAAUUUUGAAUGUUUGCUUUUAAUUUUUUACUUGAAAUUAUUAAAGGAUUCCUAAUACUAACAGACUAAUUUUUAUUUUCAAAGCCAUUUAUCAUAUAUUUAUCAGUGACACAUUAGUUUUCUUCUCAUUUUAGCCCAUUUGAUAUUGGUAUGUCUGAAGAACUUUUCUUUUUUAUCACCUGAAAAUCUUGUCAAUGACUCUUACUAAUAAUCAUCUCUAUUUUCAUAUUGACAAUAUACUGUUAGUAUACUAAGCUAUAAGAUUAACCAUAGCUAUUAGAAUAGGGGUUUUUGGCAUGAGCUAACAUUCUGUUAAGAGUCUUUUUAUUUUAAUCAUAGAUUAUGAUUUAUUGUGUAUUUUUGUAAGUAUUGAUAAAGACUUUAAGAUUUUUACUUUGGCACAGCAAGAAGUAUACUUAAGAUAUUUGUAAGUGAAUUUGUGGUUUAAAUUUUUGAACAUAUAGAUACUAUUGGCUUAUUUGCAUUUUGAAAGGGAAGAAUAGUUCUGUCAAAAUUGCUGUUUUCAGGGGGAAAUUUUUAAUUUUUGAAUUUUACAAUGAGUAAAGAAAACUGGAAAUUUUUUAAGGAAAAAUAUAAAAUUAACACAGUCAUAUGAUCUCAUAGAUUGCCUAGAAUACACCAAAGAUUCCAUCUUUGUUUUGUAACAAAUACCUGUACAGACAAGUGAUUAAGAUGUUUAGAUUUUGUUUGCAUAAAAAGUUGAAUGUCUGUUAUUAUUAUUUUUCUAUACUUUAAAAUAAUAAACUUAAGUAGCUCACUAGCUCACUUUCAGAACUGAUCAUUUCAGGACACUGUCUUUAUAUAUACCUUAUAAUGGAAAGUUUAGGUCCAUAAGUUUGUAACACAGCUCCUAUAAGUUAAAUAGGAUAAGCCUAGAAGAUAAGCUAUCAUGUAGUGCAGAACACUAACAGUCCAUACAUACGCUAUGAAAUGACAUCAGAGAUGUUAUUGUAUGCAUUUUUAAAACUAAAAUACAUGAAUCUGCAAUUUAAAUGGAGUUUACGCUGUUACUUUUUUCUACUUUCUUAGCAAUUUUUCCUAAUUAAAAUGUAUUUACUCAAAAACUUGUUACUUAUAACAAGCCAAAGUUUGACACAGUGUUUUCCCUUUUUAUUUACAAAGUAUCAUGUAUUUGCUUUUUUGUAGAAGGCCCUCUCCUCAUUACUUAUUAGCUCUUAAGUUGUUUCACCUUUUUACUAAUGCCCAGGUAAGACAUUCAUCCAUCUAUAUUAUAUAGUCAAUAUUUAUAUUGACAACAAAAAUAUAUUGAUAGUUUUGUGCCUGGCACAGAUCGGGCUAAGGGAGCCUGAGUAUAAAGAAUUAUAUAAAUAACCAACAACCAUUUUUGAAGAUCAGUGUUUUCCAAGAAAAAAAUUCUGUAGUAAAAUAUUAUCGGGUGCUGGGGAUAUAACUCAGUUGGUAGAGUGCUUGCCUCACAUGCACAAGGGCCCUGGGUUCAAUCCCCAGCACCACAAAAUAAAUAGACAAAUAAAUAGAUAAAUAGACAAAUAAAUAGAUAAAUAACAAAAACAAUAGUGUUAGAUACAGUAGAUUAAAUAAAGUUAGGCAGACAUCUUUGCUGCUGAACUUGAGGGCCUCUAAGAUGCUCUUAGAUACCUUGAUAGGGUGAGUUAAGAUUUGUCAUAUUCACCAGUCUUUUCUAGAAUAAGUCACCAUUUCUUAGAAACUUCUGGUUUUCAGAGCACAGUUUGCAAAAUGCCACUAAGCAGCAUUAUAUGGCAUAACAUGAAAGGUAUUCACUAGUAUAGCUUUUAACAAACUUGCUAAAGUUAUGAAUUGUAGUUUAUUUCUAAUAGAAAUGUUUUGUUAUUUAAGAAGAUUUGAAAGUUGACUAAUACUUUGGUCAUGUGAUUUAAAACAUUUGUUUAAUAUAUGUUUCAUUUUGUUAAACUUUUUUAGUGGAAGUUAUAUUUCUGUGAUGUGUUAUAUAGGAUAUUUUUAAGUUGUUGCUAAGAUUACAACAAAAUUCAGGGAAUUUUCAAUACUAAUAGAAAUCCUGGCACACCAUUUUUCUUGAGAUGUUUUAGCUGACAGGUAACUCAGUGAAGAAUUGACAUAGUUGAAGCUCUGAUAGCUUUUAAACAUGUUUAGAAGUCCUAAAAGCAAUGCCACCUGAUGAAACCCAAAAUAAAAUAAAUACUUCUAAGUCUUUAAAAACAGACAUAUUUGAAAAACUGAAAGACCUCAAUGUUAAUGUACCUAGCAUAUGUUGUCCUCAUUGUCAUCAGUGUGUUUUUGACUAUGUAUGAUUACACAGAAAAGAGAAACACUAUUGUAAUGUUAGAGGACUGUUCUGCCUCUGUUUGUCAAAAUGUCUUCUGCUUUCCAAUUUAUGUGCACUCUUUGCUAGAAUCAUGGGUAUCAUUUCCUACUUUAGGUGCAUCCGUUUUACCAAGGCCUGGAGUAGAAAGGACUUCCGGAGCAUCAUUAGACUUUUCCUCAGUGCUUUCAGUUCUGCCAUACCUCUAGCAGCUACUAGCUUUAGUUUUAACUUUGUAAUCUUAAAUCUUUCCCCCAUACAACCAAUUAGUCUGUUUUUAAAGUAUUUCAAUUAAAAUACCAAAUGAUAAAGAAGGUGGAUUUUUUAAAUCUAGUGGUACACUGAUAAAUAUUUAACCAAUUUUGUGGGAGGAAAAAGCCCUGAUUUGUAUUGCUUUCCAGUUUUUACUAUGUAAAUUCUCCAACCAUAGCUGAUUUCAGGCCAUCAAUGUGAAGUCAUUUAAUGCUGAAUUGGGAUGAGAUUCACACACUUUGCUGUUUUGAGUUGGUAUGAACUAGCUUUAAGCCAUCACUUCCAGAUGAAGUUAUUAAACAUUGGCCUCAUAGUUUCUUAAAAAAAAGCCCACAAGUAGUAUUUAUCAGUAGUCAGAGUCAAGUAGUAAGUAGUGCUUGAAGAUCUAUGAAAUUCCUCUUUGCAAUUGGAUACAUUGUAAGAAUAAAAAGAAAUUUUUCUAACAUAUUCAAUAAUCACAAAUAGGAAAAUAAGGAAUAUUAAGAAGAAAAUCUCUGAAAAACUUAUAAGGAAAGGCAAAUUAUUUUUUGCUGAUGUAAAUCUGACAUAAAUCAUGUAAGCUGAUAUAGCAUUGAAUGUUUGUGGUCUUAUAAUUUUUUAAAAAAAUUCUCCUAUAUUUCCAUGGACUUUGAAAAUUAUAUCCCCAGAUAAAUUGUGACAUUUCCUUCCUGCAUGUUGGUGAAAUUUUACAUUAUGAAAUUGUCACAUAAAUUCAUUAUACCCAUUUUUCAAACACAAAUGACCAUAACUCAAAUGCAUACCUAUCAUAUACCAUGCUCAAAACUACAUAAAAGUAUUCUAUCAUUAAUGUACUUUAGGAACAUUGAUAAGGUAUUUACCUAUUUUCAUAAGAAAAAUGCUUGGUCUGGGAAUCUCAAAAUAUUUACUUUGGAUAUCUUUUUACUUAAGGUAUCAGAUUUUUGGCCUAGAUUUAGGUCCAUGUAUAUAUUAUCUUUUCUCAGGCUACAGUGAAUUCAGUGAUGUUCAGCAAUACGAUUUUCUCAUGUGGCUUACUGGCUCCUGUGAAUUGGUUGCUGUGGCUGCACUGCAGGGGUGGUCCAGGUUCACUCCAGCCAGGGCCUAGUCUGUACAUGAAGACUCUAUGUGGCCUAUACCCUUCUGUGGCAAAGGCUCUGAAGCAAGAGGAGUGGCAGAAAUAUGAAAGUGUUCCAAGUGGAUACAGUGCUCAAGUCUACUCAAAUUCUGUUGGCCAGAGAUUAUGUGGUCUAGUCAUUGACAGCAGAGCUUCUCUUCCUGUCAUUGUAAGUAACAUCAAAAGGUUUUGGGAACCUUUAAUUCUAGUCAAUAACACCUCAAGUACAAUAGUCUCCUACAAAUAUUUGAGCUCAUUAUAAGUAGCCAAAAUAUGUCUAAAUAAUAUGAAAGGAAAUAACAUCUUAUUUUUUUUAAUUACUGUAUGCUAACUGUGUGGGUUUAAGUUCUGAAUUUCUAGAAAGAUCAUCAUUCUUUGAAUUUUUGGGUGGUGGUGGGGGGGGAGAUUCUCCCAAAUAUCAGUAUCACCUAAUUCUGUAGGAAAUAAGCUUAAGUAGUAGAAAUGUCCCUGGGUCAUUGAUAGUACAGCAAUGGAAAUGAUAGGAGGAUAGAAGGAAAGCAAAAGUCACAAAAAAGUCUGGACUCUGCUACUUCUCAGCUGUUAUUUAACUUUGAGUUUCAAUUUCCUCAGAAGUUCUGUAAGUUUUCUAAGGUCAUUCUUACUAUAAAGCUCCAUUCUAAUGCUGUUUUAUUGUCAUAUCCUCCAAUUUUUAUUAUAGUUUAACUCACUGUUUUUCUUAGACUUUAGAAUAGAGUAAUGCAACUUUAGUUUUCCUUAAUUCGUAUCCCAUCUUAAUUAUUACAGGAUUUGAGAUAAGUAGUAUAUGAUCCUCCUUUGUUUUUAAUCUUAAUAUUGAACCUAGUUAGGCUUUAAAACAUUCAAAUCACUAAAAUGCUCUUUUGGUACUCAUGAAGUUUGCUUACAUCAUUAUAUGUAAGAACAACCUGGGAUAUUUUUUAAAAUGUAAAUUUCUAUCCCCAACCCUUGGAUAGUCUGAUACUAGAUAGAACCCUCAAAACUACAUUUUAAACAAAUACCCCAGAUGUCCAAAGUAGUCUAAGCUAUACAAACCCUAUAUGUUAUUUGGGUAAUAAUGAGAAAAAAAAUGCUAGAUGCUACAUAUCUUUAUUUGGACUUUAUAUUUUGUUUUCAUGAAUUUAUUUUUGCCACCACAUUUAGUGCAUCAGGCCUCUAUAAGUGAUGAAAUUUUGAUUAUUUAUGAUAUGGUUAGGAUAAGUGUCCUCCAAAAGAUCAUAUGUUUUACGGUUGUUUCCUAGGACUGCACCAUUUGGAAGUAAUUAAUCUUAAGAAUUGGGGUUUUGCUGAGUACAGUAGUACAUACCUCUAAUCCCAGCUACUUGGGGGGCUGAGACAGGAGGAUUGCAAAUUUAAGGCCAGCCUGGGCAGCUUUUUGAGACAAUGUCUCAAAAUAAAAUUUUCAAAAGGGCUUGGGAUGUAGCUCAGUGGGAGAGUGCUCCUGGAUUUAAUCCCAAAUAUGUAUCAUAAAAAGGUCUCAAGAUCAUUGGGCACAUGCCCUUCAAGAAUACUAUGGGACUCCAACCCUUUUAUUCUUCCUGUCUUCUAUUUCCUAGCUAUUAGGUAAAUGGUUUUGCUCCUUCCUUUUCUCCCACCAUGAUGUCCUGUCUCACCAUAGGCUCAAAGCUAUGGUGCCAAUCAGUCAUAUACUGGAACUUCCAAAGGAAGGAGAAAAAAAUAAACCUUUUCUCUUAAUCUCAGGUAUUUGUGUCAGUGAUGGAAAGCUGAUUAACACAAAUAUAAAAUUCAGAAGUAUGGGAACCAAAAUAACUUGUUACUUUGAAGUGAACGUGCUUUGAUUAGUAUUCACAUCCUCCCAGUGCACACAACAGAUGAUCAACCUCAGGAUGAACUACUACAAAAUAACAAUUAUUGUUGGAUUAUUACAUCCAGUCUCUCUGCUGCUUCCCCUGUAUCCUUAAAACCUAAUCUCUACAGCUAUUGUGCUCCUUUUUUAAGUAAUCAGAUAAUGUUGCUUAUAUGCUUAAAAUCCUUCAGAAUAAAAGUGAAGGUCCUUACCCUGGCUACUUGUAGGAUCUUACACCCUACCCUCUCACCUCUUCCACAACACAUCCUGCACACACACAUACCUCAGCUCUCUGCACCAGGAGGACCCUUGCUAGGAUGCACUUCUCCAUAUAUCCUCACUACUCCAACUCUCUCUUUCAAGUCUCUUUAAAUAUUGCCUAUGCUGAGAAGCCCAUAUUGACCUUUCAAAAUGAAAUAGCAUAUUCCCUUCCCCCAUUAAUCACUAUCCCUUGUAACCUGCCAUAUUUUAUACUAUUUAUGAUUAUUUGAUAUAUUGUGUAUUCAUAUGUAUCUACUGCUCUAUAAUUUUAAACACUGCAAGCACAAAGACUUUGUUUUGUACAUUACUGCCAAGGCUUAGAUUAGUACCUGGCACAUAGUAGAUACUCAAUAAAUUACAUAUAAGAGGUUAUGAGGGGAAUGGGAAAAAAAACAAGGAGAGAAAUGAAUUACAGUAGAUGGGGUAGAGAGAGAAGAUGGAAGGGGAGGGGAUGGGGGGAUAGUAGAGGAUAGGAAAGGUAGUAGAAUACAACAGUUACUAAUAUGGCAUUAUGUAAAAAUGUGGAUGUGUAACCGAUGUGAUUCUGCAAUCUGUAUUUGGGGUAAAAAUGGGAGUUCAUAACGCACUUGAAUCUAAUGUAUGAAAUAUGAUAUGUCAAGAGUUUUGUAAUGUUUUGAACAACCAAUAAAAAAAAAGUCAAUUCCCCUUGGAUCUUAUUGGUUCUUACACCAUUUUAUAGCCAGUAAACAUAUCCUAAAUUAUUAUGUAAGAGUCUAACUAUUGUGUAACCACAGCUGGUGGCAAGUUGAUUACAUAGGCUCACUUCAUGGAAGAGGCAGCCAUUUGUUUUUUCUGGAAUACACAUUUAC